ACCGUGGUGUAGGGGUAAGCAUGAUUGCCUCACACCCAGUCGGCCUGGGUUCAAUCCCAGAAGGUA
This 66-nucleotide transfer RNA is filed under the name Culex quinquefasciatus (southern house mosquito). RNAcentral's name for it is "tRNA-Val". The record is from RNAcentral. Lineage: Eukaryota; Metazoa; Arthropoda; Insecta; Diptera; Culicidae.